This 775-nucleotide ribosomal RNA is filed under the name uncultured Neocallimastigales. RNAcentral describes it as "partial large subunit ribosomal RNA". It matches the Rfam family "Eukaryotic large subunit ribosomal RNA", at positions 24 to 614 of the family's 3401-position model. The record is from RNAcentral. Lineage: Eukaryota; Fungi; Neocallimastigomycota; Neocallimastigomycetes; Neocallimastigales.
UCGCAUCUGUGCAUGCAGCAUAUCAAUAAGCGGAGGAAAAGAAACUAACAAGGAUUCCCCUAGUAACGGCGAGUGAAGCGGGAAGAGCUCAAAUUUGAAAUCUUAAAGGGUUUCCCUUUACGAAUUGUAGUUUAAAGAAGUGUUUUCUGUUGAGGUUUUGGUAAAAGUUCUUUGGAAUAGGACAUCAUAGAGGGUGAGAAUCCCGUAUUUGACCUUUACUUUCAACUUUGUGAUACACUUUCAAAGAGUCGGAUUGUUUGGGAAUGCAGUCCAAAAUGGGUGGUAAAUUUCAUCUAAAGCUAAAUAUUGGCGAGAGACCGAUAGCGAACAAGUACCGUGAGGGAAAGAUGAAAAGAACUUUGAAAAGAGAGUUAAACAGUACGUGAAAUUGUCAAAAGGGAAGCGUUUGACACCAGUGUUGUUUUUCUGAAAAUCAAUUAAAGAACUGUUUAUGCUAAGCUGUUUAGACUUUAUCAGCUAUCUGUUUAGUUUUGAGCUUUUCUUUAAUGCACUUUUCAGUUAACAAGUCAACAUCAAUUUCUUUUGCUGUAAAAAAGCUUGAGGAAGGUGGCUUGAGAUUCGUCUUAAGUGUUUAUAGCCUCUUGCCUAUGCAGUCGGAGAGAUUGAGGUCUGCAGCGUAGAUCCUUCGGGGCUAAAUGCAUUUGUGCUAAGUUAUAGCAUUUUAUAGACAACUUGUUGACUAUGAUUUGUCUUGUAGCUUACUCGCUUAUGUUAUUUUACCUACGCUUAGGAUGUUGAGUCAUCACACAUCUCU